UACGAAGGGGGCUAGCGUUGUUCGGAAUUACUGGGCGUAAAGGGCUCGUAGGCGGCCAACUAAGUCGGACGUGAAAUCCCUCAGCUUAACUGGGGAACUGCGUCCGAUACUGGAUGGCUUGGAUUUGGGAGAGGGAUGCGGAAUUCCAGGUGUAGCGGUGAAAUGCGUAGAUAUCUGGAGGAACACCGGUGGCGAAGGCGGCAUCCUGGACCAAUAUUGACGCUGAGGAGCGAAAGCUAGGGGAGCAAACGGG
This 253-nucleotide ribosomal RNA is filed under the name uncultured bacterium. Its description in RNAcentral is "partial 16S ribosomal RNA". It matches the Rfam family "Bacterial small subunit ribosomal RNA", at positions 524 to 776 of the family's 1533-position model. The record is from RNAcentral.